UACGAGGGGGGCUAGCGUUGCUCGGAAUUACUGGGCGUAAAGCGCACGUAGGCGGCUUUUUAAGUCAGGGGUGAAAUCCUGGAGCUCAACUCCAGAACUGCCUUUGAUACUGGGAAGCUUGAGUCCGGGAGAGGUGAGUGGAACUCCGAGUGUAGAGGUGAAAUUCGUAGAUAUUCGGAGGAACACCAGUGGCGAAGGCGGCUCACUGGCCCGGUACUGACGCUGAGGUGCGAAAGCGUGGGGAGCAAACAGG
Molecule: ribosomal RNA, 253 nt
Filed under: uncultured bacterium
Lineage: Bacteria
Description: partial 16S ribosomal RNA
Rfam family: Bacterial small subunit ribosomal RNA
Source: RNAcentral